UGUUUCUUGUGUGAUAAUACCUACUAGCUUAAUGGUUCAACUGACAAAAACAUAACACCAGAAAAUCCCUUUUGAUCAUAACAGUCCCCUAGCUCUGAGCUGACAGGAAGUAAUUUAGUGAAAAAAUAUUAAAUAAUCACAAAUAACAGUCUAUAAAAAUUAGAUGUGGUUUUAAACAAAGUAUGUCUGGAUAGUUGAACCAUGAUUAUUGUGUCUUUCUUUUGAGAAGGAAUUCCUAAAACAGGAAUUAAAGCAGCUGAGUGAAAAGAGAAGGCAAACUGGGCUGAACUGUUGGAUUGUGCACUUGUGGUCUGUAAGAAGAAUAUUGUCAAAAUGUGUUGUCAUAAAUGUCAAGUGUCUAUUAAUAUGAAAAGUCACUGGGUGCAUUUACCCCACGUGCUUUCUUUGCCUUCCCUCCUGCAUCCUCCCCACCCACCCCUGCAAAUGACUUGUUCCCCUUUAUACUUCUGGUUUAGCUAUUGAACUGAAGCACUGAUGUAGCUGUUCAUUUACACAGGUAAUUUUUCUGUAUGAAUGAGCACUAGUCUCAACUCCAAGGCUAUGGGCUGACAGUUGCUCUACUACAAACAGACUCCUGAAACUUUUUUUCCCGAAGGCAUUAGAGAUUAACAUUGCUUAUCUAUAAAAUCCCAUGAAAUGUAUGAGAAUCCACUGUGGCUUGUGUUGAAACUACAGCCGUGCCAGUGGUCAGCCCUUGCUGCUUCUGUAUUUGUUUGUGAACUUACCCCAGUACUUUCUCCAGAGUCAGUUGUACAGUUACUUGGAUCCUGUCAGCUUUGUUUGCCUUUCCAGAUCUCAUGAUCCAGAGCUACUUUGAGAACAGCUGUUCCUGGAUGGAUUUCAGUGCUUCUGUUCCCGACCUGAACAAAAACAAAGAGGAUGACCAGGUUGGCAAUGGAAGUAUUGAAAUGCUUGUUUCUGGAAUGACUGGAGGGGAUGGAGGAGCCUGGACACGGCGGCCGCACUUGCCAAUCAAUACCUAUGAGAUUUUAGCAAACAUGAUACAAAACAAAGUUAAUGUUUCAUGAAAUAUGGAUUCAGACUAACUCUGUGUCCCAAGCUGAGAUCAUACUAGGGUUUGUAGUUUCUGCAUGUUGGCUAAGCAGCAAUUACACAAUUCUCAGAGGAAAACUGAGCUUGGCCAGCAGUGUUAUCCUGGUAGUCACUAAUCUUACCAGAGAAAUGGAUACUUUUUUCUAUAGUUAGCAAUCUACCAGCCCAUUCUUUGCAUAAUUGGAAGCUUUGUUGAAUUCUCAAUGUAAAUGAUAUGGGAAAGCUAAGCAUAUCAUUUUUGUUAGUAGGUGUAACAAGAAAAAGCAUAGCAAAACAAAUGAUUCAAAGAAUGUUCCAAAUGAAUCAUGUAAAUGAAGUGCAUGACCAAAAACUGUUGUUUUGCAUAUUUUCAAUAGUUAUAAUUAACUGGGAUGUCUGGGAGUAAAAACAUGAGCAAGGCAGGAGUGGCAGCUGAGUGAAUAGGGCAGAAGCAGCUGGCUAUGUGGAGGCAAAUUCCUGCUGUGUGAGGACAGCAGCUUGCUUCUGAACGGGGCGGCUAAAGUCAGUGAGCGCCACAAAACAGUAAGCUUUAUUUCAACUGUAAAGAUGCAUGCUUAAAGAGUGAUGGAUGAGUGAGUGCUUUUUACCUUCCUCCAUUUUAGCGUUAGCAAUGAGCAUUUGCCUCAGAUGUUUGAUGAGUCCAGGCCAACUGAACGUGCUGUAUGCAAGGGAGUUUUCAGGCAUCUGAGGUAUGUUACGGAGACCCAACAUCUUGAAUUCAGGAUGUGGAACUAACGUCUCCAUUAAGUCCCCUGAAAAAAGAAGAAAUAACAGCUGCUCAUGUUUGACAAAAAUAUCGCAUAGGCUAGUUAAAAAGGGAGAAGAGUGUGCGUGAGGAAUUUUACAAAGAUCUAGUAACUGAAGGUGAGAAACAAACCUGAAUAUGUAAGGUUUAAAUUUAACAAAUAUACAGAUGCAUCUGACAAAAUGCAAAGAUUUACUACCUACCACUGAGUUUUAUACAGGCAAGUUAACAGCUCUUAUUAUUCUUGCUUUAUUAUCUGGCUCAGAAUCUUAAAGACUUUCUAUGCUGCUGAAGAGAUGGAAAGGAAAAUGAGAGCUUAAUUUUACAAGCAAAUUCCUGGCAAGCCAGUUGCUUGUUGCUACCAAGUUGCAUGCUAGUGUGCCUUCUGAGCUAAACACAAAACUAGCAUUUUGUUUGUACAAGCUUCUAACCUAACAUUAAAUGUAAAAACUCAGCCUAAAAUUACUGCCCGGCACAAAUCUCCUCUGAAAGGUAAAUACAAGGGUGGUAGCCAUUUGAAGAAAGAGGAACACGGGUCUUUUGGUAAAGAAUGAAACCAGAAGCUGGGUAUCUGUAUCUGUAUCUCCGCUACAAAAUUGGGGUUGAAUUACUAACUUAGUCUUUCGCUUCACUAUCUGUUUUUACUGUCGUAAGCCUUGGGUUAUACCCAAAUACUUGAGAAAAAGAGACUGAAGAACAUAAAUGCCCAACAUGAAAUGAUUACUGAAAGAUGUGUAAGAAUUCCUUAAUAUCUAUACUGCGGUUAGAUACCUAAAGGGUUUCUGCUGUAGUGUAAGCCAGCUUCUGCUGUGCGAGCGGGCUGGAAAACACUCCCCAGUUGAUGUGCAAUGACUUGAUUUACAUCCCUGAAGGAGAUCUGUUUAAUAUGCAUCAGCUGAGCACAAAUCUUGUGGAUGACAUCAUUUUCAUGAACAAGAAGAGCAUCUGAUGACUGAUACAGAUGUGACAGAGUCAAAACAGAGUUGUAGUUUUGAACAAUGACCUGGAAAAAGAAAAAAAAAAAAAUGAACACAAAUGAGAGUCAAACAAGUUGAUCUCUUUCUAUCUAGGUAACAUAUUCUUCUGGCUACUGUCAUUUCCUCAGUUAUGGUUAAGGAAGUGAUUCAUUUUCUUUGCCAAAGUGCAGAAUAAGGUCAGGAACUGGCACAGCUUUUUCAUGGAAAGAGAGCAAGACCUAUGAAAAUCAUGUUACUCAUCUCAGUUCAGAAUGAAACCUGUCUGGGAACUGACUGUCAUGCUGAGAUACUGUCAUAACAGGAGAUUUCUAGUUAGCUAGUAGAGCUUCUCAUGAAACUGCAUUAUACCAUAGCACUUUGCUAUUUUGCUUAAAAUCUACUUUUAUAAGUAGAUUUUAAAUGUUUUCUUACUAGCUUGAGAUAUUUGUGAUCUUUAGAUAAAUUUGAUAAUUUUGAUUUUUUUAAAUGAAACUACAUGUACCAAAUAUUAGGCAAAAAAAUUGCUUUGUGUCAUGUUGAACGUUAAAAGAAUAAAAUGUUCCUCUUUUCUAUUUUA
Long non-coding RNA from Numida meleagris (helmeted guineafowl), 3352 nucleotides. RefSeq lists it as uncharacterized. The transcript has 2 exons. NCBI's taxonomy places the organism in Eukaryota, Metazoa, Chordata, Aves, Galliformes, Numididae. The record is from RefSeq and is a predicted model, not a curated record.